ACUCAAUUUUUCCUUCACAGUUCAUGAAGUGGGCCUGUCAUAGUUUCAGUACCAAACACCUUUCUAUUCACAGACACAGAAACAAUCUAUCAUUCUGCACUGUUCUUUAGUUUUACCUUAUUUAAAUGACUCCAGAGAGAUUUGGGAAAUUAAGUACAAAACAACAUAACAGUCACUAAUCAAACUUCAAAAAAGACCAAUAAGAGUAAUUAACAAGUCUAAGACCAGGAUCAGACUAACCCAUUAUUUAUCCAAAUAUUUUGCACAUAUAUAACAUUUUGUACAGAACUACAAAAUACUAUUCAAAUAAAUAAAGCCAAUGCUGUACACAAUUUCCUUCAAAAAUAUAAAAAUAAUUCUAAAUUAAUUAAGUACUGCAUUGC
Molecule: long non-coding RNA, 383 nt
Organism: Xiphophorus couchianus (Monterrey platyfish)
Lineage: Eukaryota; Metazoa; Chordata; Actinopteri; Cyprinodontiformes; Poeciliidae
Exons: 3
Source: RefSeq, a predicted model, not a curated record